UACAUGGGGUGCAAACGUUGCUCGGAAUUAUUGGGCGUAAAGCGUGCGUAGACGGCUAUCUAAGUCGGGUGUGAAAGCCCCGGGCUCAACCUGGGAAUUGCAUUCGAGACUGAAUAGCUAGGGUACGGUAGAGGGAAGCGGAAUUUCCGGUGUAGCGGUGAAAUGCGUAGAUAUCGGGAGGAACACCUAUGGCGAAGGCAGCUCGCUGGGACGUUACUGACGCUGAGACGCGAAAGCGUGGGGAGCAAACAGG
RNAcentral lists this ribosomal RNA (253 nucleotides) under uncultured bacterium. RNAcentral describes it as "partial 16S ribosomal RNA". It matches the Rfam family "Bacterial small subunit ribosomal RNA", at positions 524 to 776 of the family's 1533-position model. The record is from RNAcentral.